This 465-nucleotide ribosomal RNA is filed under the name uncultured bacterium. RNAcentral describes it as "partial 16S ribosomal RNA". It matches the Rfam family "Bacterial small subunit ribosomal RNA", at positions 28 to 507 of the family's 1533-position model. The record is from RNAcentral.
GAUGAACGCUGGCGGCGUGCUUAACACAUGCAAGUCGAACGGAAAGGCUCCUGCUUGCAGGGGUACUCGAGUGGCGAACGGGUGAGUAACACGUGGGUGAUCUGCCCUGCACUUCGGGAUAAGCCUGGGAAACUGGGUCUAAUACCGGAUAGGACGAUGGUUUGGAUGCCAUUGUGGAAAGUUUUUCGGUGUGGGAUGAGCUCGCGGCCUAUCAGCUUGUUGGUGGGGUAAUGGCCUACCAAGGCGUCGACGGGUAGCCGGCCUGAGAGGGUGUACGGCCACUUGGGGUGUGAGAUAGGGCCCAGACCCAUCGGGGGGGCAGGAGGGGGAAAUAUGGCAAAAGGGGGGCAGGCUUGAGGCACGGACCCCGGGGGGGGGAGGCCGGCUUGGGGUUUGAAAACUCCUUUCGCAAGGGACGAAGCGCAAGGGACGGUCCCUGGAGAAAAAGCCCCGGCUAACUACGUG